This 1470-nucleotide long non-coding RNA is filed under the name Anser brachyrhynchus (Pink-footed goose). RNAcentral's name for it is "lncRNA (ENSABRG00000006185.1)". Lineage: Eukaryota; Metazoa; Chordata; Aves; Anseriformes; Anatidae. The record is from RNAcentral.
CACUGAAAACACCUCCACACACAAACAACAGGGCUUUGGGACAUGACAAGAUGUAUCCCUUGUCUGAACAGGUAUUCCCAUAAGUAAAGCUUUUUGUUUGAAACAGAUCUGUUUUGCACCAAGAAGUUGCAUUAUGCUCACUGUUUUGUUGUUGUUUGUCGUUGUUUUUUUUUGGAUGGUUAGUUUUUAUGUGUGUGUGUUUGUUUGUUUGUUUUUCCUUUUAAACUCAGACAGAAUUGCUGUCCUUGGAUUACCAUGAUCAUGUGUCCAGGGCCUGACUGCCCCUCUGCACUGAUGAAUGAAAGUAGUCUGUCUUCUCUUCUGUCAAAUAACUGAUGAGGCAGGUGUGGAAGUUAGCUCUCUCCUAUGCAAAACAGGCCAUUGCAAAUGGAAGCACAAUUUCAAGUUUCUGUAUAAUAUUGAUCCCCAAUUUCAGCCUAAGAGCUGUGAUUACUGAGAUGAAAUGAGCAGUAUCACUUGAGUAGCAACAAUUGUCUUUACUUUUUUUUCCCCACGUUGUUAUCAAGAAUUUGCUAAGCAAUCUAUCACAGUAAGUCAGAUGCAAGCAAGAUCUGCAAUCUAGGAGCCAUAUAGCAGCUGAGAACAUGGAUUUAAGAGGCAGAGGCUUCAAUUUCCUGCUGAAUUUUAUCAGGACCUGGGGUCUGCUGUGUUACACAGAGACAAAGUGUUGACCACAAGAUGGGAGUGGGUCUCUGUAGCAUCUCACAGACUGAGAGGGUCACUGCCUAGAAGUAUAGGACACAAUUAUGGAUUGCAGGGGAAGAGCAUUUGGAGUUUGCACAAAACCUAUUGUGGGAUGUUGAGGGGAGGAAGGGACAGACGUGUUUUAGGGAAGAAAGAAAAAAAAGAGUAAUAUAGAGGGACAAGGGGCUGAGAGGGGGCAGUCACAUGUGAACACAUGGCUGGACAGCAGACUUGUUUGUACAUGCCCUGCACUUGAUCAGCAUAGACUGUCCUUUCUUUUCAUUAAAGAAAAGUUUUCACUUUCCUGAGUGUGGGACUUUCUUAUCUGUGUAUGGAGGUCCAAAAGGCCAGUGACUGGAGUGGGACCACAGGAGCACAGGGGCCUGGGUCUGUGGUGUUGGCAACUGGAGUGGUUUAAAUCAUUGUGUGAUCACUUGUGAAAAUCAAGCUUGACUUGCACACAAGUAGUUGACGUGACCUGGGAGCCAAGUGUGUGCAUCUGCCUCUGUGAGGCUGCUGGACAAGCCAGCUACCAGAUGGACUGGGGUCCCAGCCACCUGCUGGAGGGGCUGUGGGGUCGGUGAGGAGACCAGAGCCCCUCGUGUGCGUGCCUGUGCAUGAGGCACAUGGGAAGAGAGAGGACCUGGGCCCAGCAACUGGAGGGACCAAGUGUCUAAGCCCAGUCACUGGAGGCUGCUAAAGCCAAUUCUUUGCCUUUUUCAUAGCAAUUUACAUCUAUGUAGGCCUGGUUCUGUUUCUGUGAAG